AUUGAACGCUGGCGGCAUGCCUUACACAUGCAAGUCGAACGGUAACGGGCCUUCGGGUGCCGACGAGUGGCGAACGGGUGAGUAAUGCAUCGGAACGUACCUUUCAGUGGGGGAUAACGUAGCGAAAGUUUACGCUAAUACCGCAUAUUCUGUGAGCAGGAAAGCAGGGGAUCGGCAAGACCUUGCGCUGAUUGAGCGGCCGAUGUCAGAUUAGCUAGUUGGUGAGGUAAAGGCUCACCAAGGCGACGAUCUGUAGCGGGUCUGAGAGGAUGAUCCGCCACACUGGAACUGAGACACGGUCCAGACUCCUACGGGAGGCAGCAGUGGGGAAUUUUGGACAAUGGGGG
This 347-nucleotide ribosomal RNA is filed under the name uncultured bacterium. Its description in RNAcentral is "bacterial SSU rRNA". It matches the Rfam family "Bacterial small subunit ribosomal RNA", at positions 30 to 377 of the family's 1533-position model. The record is from RNAcentral.